GUGAAACCGCGAAUGGCUCAUUAAAUCACACCUAAUGUACCGGAUAGUCUCAGUUACUUGGAUAACUGCGGUAAUUCUGGAGCUAAUACAUGCCAAAAAGCCCCGACUCACGGAGGGGCGCUUUUAUUAAAUCAAAACCAAACGGUCUCGUGCCGUUAACCUGGUGAUUCUGAAUAACUUUUUGCUGAUCGUAUGGCUCUACGCCGACGACGUAUCCGUCCAAGGUGUGCCCUAUCAACUGUCGACUGUGGCAUAGUCGCCCACAGUGGUUUUGACGGGUAACGGGGAAUUAGGGUUCGAUUCCGGAGAGGGAGCCUGAGAAACGGCUACCACUUCUAAGGAAGGCAGCAGGCACGCAAAUUACCCAAUGGUCGAAGACCGAGGUAGUGACGAAAAAUAACGAUACCGGUCUCUUCCGAGGCCCGGUAAUCGGAAUGAGUACACUUUAAAUCCUUUAACGAGGAACAAUUGGAGGGCAAGUCUGGUGCCAGCAGCCGCGGUAAUUCCAGCUCCAAUAGCGUAUAUUAAAGUUGUUGCGGUUAAAAAGCUCGUAGUUGGAUCUCGGCAGGUAGGGGGCGGUUCGUUAUUCGACGGUACUGCCCCAUUUACCUGUGUUUUUGACAGAGGAUUUGGGGUUCCCUUCGCUGGGUGUCCUAGGUCGCUGUCAGGUUUACUUUGAAAAAAUUAGAGUGCUCAAAGCAGGCUUUAAUGCUUGAAUAUUCGUGCAUGGAAUAAUAGAAUAGGAAGUCGUUUCUAUUUUGUUGGUUUUCGGAAAUUGACUUAAUGAUUAAUAGGGACAAUUGGGGGCAUCAGUAUUCAGACGACAGAGGUGAAAUUCUUGGACCGUCUGAAGACUAACUACUGCGAAAGCAUUUGCCAAGAGUGUUUUCAUUAAUCAAGAACGAAAGUUAGAGGUUCGAAGGCGAUCAGAUACCGCCCUAGUUCUAACCAUAAACGAUGCCAGCUAGCGAUCCGCAGGUGUUGCAUAUUAAAACCCCGCGGGGAGCUCCCGGGAAACCAAAGCUUGUGGGUUCCGGGGGAAGU
This 1044-nucleotide ribosomal RNA is filed under the name Herrmannella hoonsooi. Its description in RNAcentral is "SSU rRNA". It matches the Rfam family "Eukaryotic small subunit ribosomal RNA", at positions 81 to 1124 of the family's 1831-position model. The record is from RNAcentral. Lineage: Eukaryota; Metazoa; Arthropoda; Copepoda; Poecilostomatoida; Lichomolgidae.